GGAAGUUGUUCUGCAGGUAGUCCGUGAGCAUGACGUAGCCGGCCUGCUGCAUGGUCAUCACCUCGCAGAAGACCUCCAGCUGGGACGGCGGAGACAGAGAGAGACGCGCAAGGCUCGUCACAAAGGUCCCGCUCGCGGUCGCUCGUCGGGGCCACGCGCGGCGCCUGAAGAGACGACGUGCCGGAGGACGCCGGGUUACUCCUGACAGCAGAUGGGGAGGUGAAUUAUUGAUGGGCUCCGCCUGCUUUCUACACGAGGCUUUUCCCCAGAGACGUCGAGAACGCAUUUUGAGGGCUAUUUUUAAGAGUUUGCGAUUUCCGGCCGCGCGCAAGGGCUGAGGGUGGAGCUCUGCCGGCGGAGCUCUGCCGGCGCGACAGCCCCAGGUCUCACGCACGUCCAGAAAGCAGAGCGGCAUCUACACGGACAACACGGCGGUAAAAGCGAGGAGAGAAAGGAGUCGUCGCGGCCGGGCUGUCGUCCCCUUAGAGAUGGGGAGGGGUGUGAGCUCGGCGGAAAACGCUGGAAGCGUAUCGGGGACAGCGGCUCGCUCCCCUUCUCUCGGGCCGGGAGGGAAGGAGGCGCUGAGGUACAUCGGUGAUCACGUGACACCUGCAGGGGUAUCGCUCCGCACGACAGCGGUUGCCAGAUGUCACGCCUCAGACAGCGCGACCCGCCCCUGCACCAACUGACGACCAUUGACGGGCAA
Molecule: long non-coding RNA, 706 nt
Organism: Scleropages formosus (Asian bonytongue)
Lineage: Eukaryota; Metazoa; Chordata; Actinopteri; Osteoglossiformes; Osteoglossidae
Exons: 2
Source: RefSeq, a predicted model, not a curated record